AUACCUGCAGCUCAAGUGGUGACCGUUAUUAUUGGGCCUAAAACGUCCGUAGCCGGUUUAGUAAAUGCCUGGGUAAAUCGUGUAGCUUAACUAUACGAAUUCCGGGUAGACUGCUAAGCUUGAGACUGGGAGAGGCUAGAGGUACUCCUGGGGUAGAGGUGAAAUUCUGUAAUCCUGGGGGGACCACCAGUGGCGAAGGCGUCUAGCUAGAACGGAUCUGACGGUGAGGGACGAAGCCCUGGGGCGCAAACCGGAUUAGAGACCCGUGUAGUCC
Molecule: ribosomal RNA, 274 nt
Filed under: uncultured bacterium
Lineage: Bacteria
Description: partial 16S ribosomal RNA
Rfam family: Archaeal small subunit ribosomal RNA
Source: RNAcentral